Molecule: ribosomal RNA, 1864 nt
Filed under: Candidatus Pacearchaeota archaeon
Lineage: Archaea; Nanobdellati
Description: partial 23S ribosomal RNA
Rfam family: Archaeal large subunit ribosomal RNA
Source: RNAcentral
GACGGCCCGACUGUUUACCAAAAACGUAGCCACGUGCUAAUCCGAAAGGACUUGUAUACGUGGUGAGACCUGCCCAGUGGUGGUGUCUAAAACUCUUUUACAAGGGAGCUAAGGUCCAUCAAACGGCGGGGGUAACUAUGACCCUUGGCUAAAAGGGGGUCAAUAAAUCUGACUGUAUGCUGGAACAUCUUGACAGGUUUUCGGUACUCGUUUUCAUGAUUUUAUCGUCGUGAAUUCAGUAAAAAUUCGAAAAAUAGAGACAAUCAGCAGGAAACUAAAGAUUUAAAUAUCUAACCUUCGUAUGAGGGUUAUGAAAUCAGAACAAUUAAUUUAUUACUUAACUGGCUUUGCAGAUGGAGAGAGUUGCUUUUGUAUUGCUCUUAAAAAACAAAAAUCUGCAAAAGUUAAAUGGGUCCUUGAUCCGGUUUUUCACGUAACACAACAUUCAAAAGACAAAGAUAUUCUUUAUGAAUUUCAAAAACUCUUGAAUUGUGGAACAGUGAUUAAAAAAUACGGACAGGAAAAUACUUCACAAUUUAUUGUGCAAAGUAGAAAAGAAUUAAUUGAAAAAGUUAUUCCUUUUUUUAAAAAAUAUCCUUUGUGGACAAAACAAAAAGAUUUUCAAAUUUUUGCAGAAGUUGUUGAAUCAUUAAAUCAACAUAAACACAAAGAUAUAAACGAAUUUAAAAAACUUUUAAAAAAAGUAUUUAAAAUGAAUGGAGAAGGAAAACAAAGAAGAUACAAUCUUAAUGAAGUCUUAGAAUCUUUAGGAUCCUCAGAGACUAUACGUCAGAAUUAGAAUUUAUUUUAAUAAGAGAUAGUCCGAACUGCAUGGAGACAUGUAGAGAUUUGCUCGCGCAAAUCCGCUUCAAUUUUUUUGAAGUCAAUAUUCUUUUUGAAUAUUAAAGUAACAGAAAGCUUAAGGUAGCGUAAUGCCUUGUCAUCUGAAUGGUGACGUGCAUGAAUGGUUUAACGAGGUUGUUACUGUCCCCAAUCAGAGCCCUCUGAAAAUAUUGUCCGGUGCAAAGACCGGAGACACCCAGUGGGAAGCGAAGACCUUGUGGAACUUUACUACAACUUGUUGUUGUGAGUUCAGAUUAAAUGCAUAGCAUAAGUAGGAGCGUCGAGGCCAUGAUCUCGGUCAUGGUGGAGCAACCGUGUAAUACUACUCAUUUGAUUUGGGCUUGCUUACUAUUUAUAGGACAUCAGCAGGCGGGUAGUUUGGCUGGGGCGGCGCCCUGCCGAAAAGAUAUCGGUAGGACUCAAAGAUAAACUCAUCUAGCUUGGAAAUCUAGAGUUGAGUGCGAGGGCAAAAGUUUAUCUGACUGUAUUUUGAAAAGCAAGAAAUGCAGGAACGAAAGUUGGACCUAGUGAACCCACGAACAUUUUUAAUAGAUGUCGUGUCUGAUAGAAAAGUUACCCCAAGGGUAAUAAGCUUGUCGCGCCCGAUAGUCCGAAUUGACGGCGCGGUUUGGUAUUUCGCUGUCGGCUCUUCCUAUCCUGCGUGUGCAGAAGCACGCAAGGGUGCCGGAGUUCACGUAUUAAAAGGGAUCGUUAGCUGGGUUAAGAACGUCGUGAGACAGUUUGUAUGAUAUCUACUGGGUGUGUUGUUGUCUGAGUGGAACAAGUUUCUAGUACGAGAGGAACGGAACUUGGAUGCCUCUGGUGAGCAGUUGUCAAUUGGCAGGCUGCAUAGCUACGCAUUGUGUGAAUAAGAGCUGAAAGCAUCUAAGCUCGAAGUCAUCCGCAAAACGAGACAACUAAGGCCGCGAAAGAAGAUCGCGUUGAUAGAGUUAUUAUGUAAUAUUCAAGGUUCGCCGAGAAUUUCAGUAUAUAACUACUAAAAGCCUCAAAUUGUAUAUUU